This 497-nucleotide ribosomal RNA is filed under the name uncultured bacterium. RNAcentral's name for it is "partial 16S ribosomal RNA". It matches the Rfam family "Bacterial small subunit ribosomal RNA", at positions 28 to 507 of the family's 1533-position model. The record is from RNAcentral.
GAUGAACGCUGGCGGCGUGCCUAAUACAUGCAAGUCGAGCGAACGGACGAGAAGCUUGCUUCUCUGAUGUUAGCGGCGGACGGGAGAGUAACACGUGGAUAACCUACCUAUAAGACUGGGAUAACUUCGGGAAACCGGAGCUAAUACCGGAUAAUAUUUUGAACCGCAUGGUUCAAAAGUGAAAGACGGCCUUGCUGUCACUUAUAGAUGGAUCUGCGCUGCAUUAGAUAGUUGGUAAGGUAACGGCUUAUCAAGGCAACGAGGCGUAGCCGACCGGAGAGGGUGGUCGGCCGCACGGGAGCGGGGACGGCGACCAGGCGCCUGCGGGAGGGAGCAGAAGGGAAUCGUCGGCAACAGGCGAAAACCUUGCAGAGCGGCGCCGAGUGAGUGAUGGAGGUCUUGGGUUCGUGAAGCCCUGUUAUUGGGGAAGAACAGAUGUGGAAGGUACCGUGGAGAUCUUGACGGUACCGAAUAAGAAAGCCACGGCUAACUACGUG